UUAAAUGUUUAUUUAGAUAAUAAAAAUAUUUUGUACUAUACCAAAUUAUUGACAGUUAUCAUAGUGGGUGGUGAGAUUAUGAGUGGUUUUUAAGGAGAUUUCUUUUUUUUUUUGGUUUUUUGAGACAGGGUCUCACUAUGAAAUGGAGACUGACCUGGAACUCACUAUGUAGCCCAGGCUGAUCUCGAACUCACAGCGAUCCUCCUGCCUCAGCCUCCCAAGUGCUGGACUUAACAGUCAUGCGCCACCAUGCCUGGCUUUAAAAAGAUAUUUCUAUGUAUUUUUCAUGUUUUCCACAAUGGGUAUUUAUUAUCUUUUGCCAAACUUAGAACCAAGAGCCAGAUAAGAGGCCAAAGGGACAAUUUUGCUGAAAAACUCCUGCUGCUGCCAAAUGCUGUCUUUCCAUAGGAACUCCGGCCCUGACCACCCUGUCUUGAGGGAGUUGCUGGUUGCCAGGAGCUGCCAGGCGACGGAGAUGCAACACAAUUUGGAGGCAGCAGCUUGGUUCUAAAUGGAGGUUUCAGAGAGUUCAUAUGAGGUUAAAAGCCGACUAAACAUUGUGUACCUGUACCAUAGUACCUGUGGUCAGUCACCAAGGUGAGAAGGAAAAAGAGAAGGUCAUGCAUCUAUAAUUGCGGUCAUGCACCUGCUUAGCACCCUGAGAGGUUGUUCUUGGACCAAAGAUUAUCAGCUCUUUCCUGCUCUUGACAACCAACACAGACUUAAUACCCACUUUCCAGCAAACUUUCUCCUACACAUCAAAUUCACAUUCUAUUUUGAAGUUGAAAGAAAGAGAUCUUUAAAGAAAAAGGAAAUUUUGGGGGAGGGUCCUGAAGCAAAGAAUCAACCCAUGCUGCCAACAUUGCCUCCAAGGACAGCCAAAACCUCCCAGGGGCCAACAGGGUAGAAUAGAGGAUAAUUCUGUGUGCUUUCUUUCAUCAGCUGGCAAUUUCAAAAGCACCUGCCUGUUUUUCCAGGCCUCAAGAGUAACCACAUCAGCCAGUCCCUUCUUGUUUUCCAUAAAUCCAUGAUAAAGACCAUUGUUUUCAAGGCU
This 1054-nucleotide long non-coding RNA is filed under the name Fukomys damarensis (Damara mole-rat). Its description in RNAcentral is "lncRNA (ENSFDAG00000028290.1)". The record is from RNAcentral. Lineage: Eukaryota; Metazoa; Chordata; Mammalia; Rodentia; Bathyergidae.